This 253-nucleotide ribosomal RNA is filed under the name uncultured bacterium. Its description in RNAcentral is "partial 16S ribosomal RNA". It matches the Rfam family "Bacterial small subunit ribosomal RNA", at positions 524 to 776 of the family's 1533-position model. The record is from RNAcentral.
UACGUAGGGGGCUAGCGUUGUCCGGAAUCAUUGGGCGUAAAGAGCGUGUAGGCGGCCCGGUAAGUCCGCUGUAAAAGUCAAAGGCUCAACCUUUGAAUGUCAGUGGAUACUGCCGGGCUAGAGUCCGGAAGAGGCGAGUGGAACUCCUGGUGUAGCGGUGAAAUGCGCAGAUAUCGGGAGGAACACCUAUGGCGAAGGCAGCUCGCUGGGACGUUACUGACGCUGAGACGCGAAAGCGUGGGGAGCGAACAGG